UGCCACUUGACGGCCGCGGUGGGCGGAGCCCGGGAAAGAAAUGGGGCGGCCUCUUUAGGAUCCGCUACCCGCUACUCCCCGGGCCGCGGCGGCGCCGCGAUGGAUUGACCAGGUCCCACCAAGCUCCGAAGUCCCGGCGGCCUGAGCCCUCCCGCUAACGAGGACCCCGAGACUUGAGGUAUGUCACACAAGCCGUUUGGGGUUGGGUCAGGAGGCCGGUGAGCAAGGGCAUCUCGUGUUUGCGAGCCGCUCUUUAAUUAAG
Molecule: long non-coding RNA, 262 nt
Filed under: Monodelphis domestica (gray short-tailed opossum)
Lineage: Eukaryota; Metazoa; Chordata; Mammalia; Didelphimorphia; Didelphidae
Description: lncRNA (ENSMODG00000034824.2)
Source: RNAcentral